Molecule: ribosomal RNA, 468 nt
Filed under: uncultured bacterium
Lineage: Bacteria
Description: partial 16S ribosomal RNA
Rfam family: Bacterial small subunit ribosomal RNA
Source: RNAcentral
GACGAACGCUGGCGGCGUGCUUAACACAUGCAAGUCGAACGGAAAGGCCCUGCUUUUGUGGGGUGCUCGAGUGGCGAACGGGUGAGUAACACGGGAGUAACCUGCCCUUGACUUUGGGAUAACUUCAGGAAACUGGGGCUAAUACCGGAUAGGAGCUCCUGCUGCAUGGUGGGGGUUGGAAAGUUUCGGCGGUUGGGGAUGGACUCGCGGCUUAUCAGCUUGUUGGUGGGGUAGUGGCUUACCAAGGCUUUGACGGGUAGCCGGCCUGAGAGGGUGACCGGCCACAUUGGGACUGAGAUACGGCCCAGACUCCUACGGGAGGCAGCAGUGGGGAAUAUUGCACAAUGGGCGGAAGCCUGAUGCAGCAACGCCGCGUGUGGGAUGACGGCCUUCGGGUUGUAAACCGCUUUCGCCUGUGACGAAGCGUGAGUGACGGUAAUGGGUAAAGAAGCACCGGCUAACUACGUG